Molecule: microRNA precursor, 85 nt
Filed under: Marmota monax (woodchuck)
Lineage: Eukaryota; Metazoa; Chordata; Mammalia; Rodentia; Sciuridae
Source: RNAcentral
UUGUGAUCCAUUCUACUAGCCUGUGUCUCUUAAUUGGUGAGUUUAAGCCAUUAAGAGACACAGGCUAGUAGAAUGGAUCACAAAA